AAUCUUAUAGUUUAAUAAAAAUAUAAAAUUGCAAAUUUUAAGAUAGAAUUGCUUAAGAUUU
This 61-nucleotide transfer RNA is filed under the name Empoascanara quarta. RNAcentral's name for it is "tRNA-Cys". Lineage: Eukaryota; Metazoa; Arthropoda; Insecta; Hemiptera; Cicadellidae. The record is from RNAcentral.